UUAAGAAUCUUGCGCAAUGGGCGAAAGCCUGAUGCAGCAACGCCGCGUGAGCGAUGAAGGCCUUUGGGUCGUAAAGCUCUGUCCUUGGGGAAGAAAAAAAUGACGGUACCCUUGGAGGAAGCCCCGGCUAACUACGUGCCAGCAGCCGCGGUAAUACGUAGGGGGCAAGCGUUAUCCGGAAUUAUUGGGCGUAAAGAGUGCGUAGGUGGUUUUAUAAGCGCAGGGUGAAAGGCAAUGGCUCAACUAUUGUAAGCCUUGCGAACUGUAAGACUUGAGUGCAGGAGAGGAAAGUGGAAUUCCUAGUGUAGCGGUGAAAUGCGUAGAUAUUAGGAGGAACACCAGUGGCGAAGGCGACUUUCUGGACUGUAACUGACACUGAGGCACGAAAGCGUGGGGAGCAAACA
Molecule: ribosomal RNA, 404 nt
Filed under: uncultured prokaryote
Description: bacterial SSU rRNA
Rfam family: Bacterial small subunit ribosomal RNA
Source: RNAcentral